UUUUUUAUUACGGAUUGAGACAGAGAGAAAAAGAGAGAGAGGGCCUAGAAUCAAAUAAUAGUGUGAGUAAUGGCGUUUUGAAACUCUCAGUUUGAACUGAACUGCCUGAACCUGUGGGUGCCGAUCCGGUUCUUGGGAACCAGGCUCAAUGUAGUUCUUGGAAACCCGGCAAUCAUCUAGGGUCGAUCUGGCUCUUGGAAUCUUCGGGGUCAGAUCUCAUUCUUGGAAACCCUACAAUCAUCAUGGAAUCAUCAUAUUCCCUAUUUUUUUAUAUUUUAGUUUUAGUUGUAUCCAUAACCGAUAUGGACAUACUGAACUGAACUACCACCCACCGGUGCCCUGGUUGUUUUAAUCUAAAGCAGAACUUUAAAAAUAUAAUAUCGUUAGAAAUUGAUCAAAAUCAAUAUUGGACUGGUUUUUUCACUGGUUAAAUAAAGUUGAGAAUUUUUUACUAAUACAUUAUAUAUUUCAAAAUGCCAUUUUUAUUUUCUUUAUAUAUUUUUUUGAAAUAUGAUUCACCAAUUAGUUUUGACUGGACUAGACCUAUGACUGAUUCAAAGUCAGAUCUUGAUAACUAUGAUAUCCACACAGAUAAGUCUGUAUUACCUAAACUCAUUUGGCAGGUGAGCAGCUAAGGCUUUAAAAAGUUUGAAGGAUGAAGUGGUUGAGAGAGAGUCAUUUUCCAUGGAUGUAACCAGUGUGUGACUACUCAGCGGAGUUAAUCAAACUCAGUCCUGGCCAAGCCAAGUAACUAUAUACAACUCUGGUAUAUAUAUUUAAAAAUAAAUAAAAAUUAUAUAAAUUUGCUCAUAAAAAUCACAAACGUAAUUUGGAUGUAUUUCACAAUGAUUUGUUAGUUUUAAUUGUCAAAUGCCUCAAUUAUGCAUUUUCUUUUUUUCAAAUUUUUUGAAGGUAAAUCAAUUUGUUUUUAAAUCUAUUUUCUUAUAUUUGUUGGCUUCAUUUUGUUUUUUAAUUAUAUUCCACUAAAAUCUUUAUAUUAUUUUUAACUUUUUUUUCUGAAAUUUCUUAUUAGGGUUUUUUUAGCGUUAUAUAUUAGUGUUAUGAAGAUUGGACUAACCAGCAAACAACCGGUUUGACAGACUGGUUUUAAAGAUAAAAAAUAAAUAAAUAAAACUAAAAAAAACAGUUUUCGUUUUAUUAAUCAGUCUAACCAGUUAAAAUUAAUGGAUGGGCUAAAAUCAGUUAAAUGUACAAAUCUUACCGGGUCAGCUAAGGCACCGAUUAGUGGUGACCAUGAUGUUCAUAACUACCCCGUGUAUUACUUGGGCCUCCUACCCGGGACGAGUCUGAA
Molecule: long non-coding RNA, 1312 nt
Filed under: Amborella trichopoda
Lineage: Eukaryota; Viridiplantae; Streptophyta; Magnoliopsida; Amborellales; Amborellaceae
Description: long non-coding RNA (ATRI_LNC003314)
Source: RNAcentral